Molecule: ribosomal RNA, 468 nt
Filed under: uncultured bacterium
Lineage: Bacteria
Description: partial 16S ribosomal RNA
Rfam family: Bacterial small subunit ribosomal RNA
Source: RNAcentral
GACGAACGCUGGCGGCGUGCUUAACACAUGCCAGUCGAACGGAAAGGCCCUGCUUUUGUGGGGUGCUCGAGUGGCGAACGGGUGAGUAACACGUGAGUAACCUGCCCUUGACUUUGGGAUAACUUCAGGAAACUGGGGCUAAUACCGGAUAGGAGCUCCUGCUGCAUGGUGGGGGUUGGAAAGUUUCGGCGGUUGGGGAUGGACUCGCGGCUUAUCAGCUUGUUGGUGGGGUAGUGGCUUACCAAGGCUUUGACGGGUAGCCGGCCUGAGAGGGUGACCGGCCACAUUGGGACUGAGAUACGGCCCAGACUCCUACGGGAGGCAGCAGUGGGGAAUAUUGCACAAUGGGCGGAAGCCUGAUGCAGCAACGCCGCGCGCGGGAUGACGGCCUUCGGGUUGUAAACCGCUUUCGCCUGUGACGAAGCGUGAGUGACGGUAAUGGGUAAAGAAGCACCGGCUAACUACGUG